UUAAGUUGUAAUUGUUUUAUUAAUAUUUUUUUGUUUGUUUUUAAUUGUAUUUUUAUUGUUAAUUAUAGAAUUUCACCCACUGUAUACCGUCUCAUAUUAAUAUCGAUCAAAUUCCGUCUUACCGUCUAACCACGUUCUGUAUAAUUAUAUAAU
This 153-nucleotide small RNA is filed under the name Arabidopsis thaliana (thale cress). Its description in RNAcentral is "ATSL082150". The record is from RNAcentral. Lineage: Eukaryota; Viridiplantae; Streptophyta; Magnoliopsida; Brassicales; Brassicaceae.